Mauremys reevesii (Reeves's turtle) is the source of this 617-nucleotide long non-coding RNA. RefSeq lists it as uncharacterized. The transcript is spliced from 3 exons. The record is from RefSeq and is a predicted model, not a curated record. NCBI's taxonomy places the organism in Eukaryota, Metazoa, Chordata, Testudines, Geoemydidae.
GUGCGCUGCUUGGGCUGCAAGAACCACUGCUUUAAGGAGUCACUCUGACAGGAGCUCAAUCUCCCCAGUAUGGACAGCGUCACCUUUUGAGUCUGGCAUCGCUCCCCCUGACACAGGGAGUCCUACAGCCAGCUAGUAUCUGCAGACUAGAACAACAGUGCUUUCACGUGAGGGACCAGGAGUCCGCCCAAGAGAGCAACGGCUGAAGAUUCUGGAGCUAUCCCAGAUGGGGCAACUGAGACACAGAAAGGGGAAGUGACUUGCCCAGGGUCACCAGCAGGCCAGUGGCAGAGCUGGGAUUAAAACUAAGGUCUCUUGAGUCCCCUCCAGUGGAAGUCAUUUCCUGUGUAACCUUUAACCUCUGCCAACCAUGUGUCUGAUUAACCCAGUGACUUAGUCCUAGGCGAGGAGAACUCUAAUUGCACUGCAUUGGAUUGAAGCAAUGGCAGAGGGGGUAGGAAUGUCUACUCACCACAGGAAGCAGCUUUGCACAUGAACGCAAAGCAGCUUUGCACAGGAACAUCAGGCAGUUGCAGCAGCAAAAGAUUCAGGUGCAGACAGGGCUUUAAGGGGUUGCCUUAAGUGCUCCAUCAAUAAGCAGCCCUGGUUUAGUUUGA